GGGGUCAAUUGACUAUUUUGGUCAUCUGACUUAUUUUUAGUUCUUACUUUGCUGUACAUUAUUGCUGUUUACAGUUUAUCUCUAUCUAUAAUAAUAUUCAAGAUAAUAACAAAAAAACAGCAAAAUUUCCUCAAAAUUACCAAUUCAGGGGCAGCAACCUAACAACCGAUUAUCCGAUUCAUCAGAAAAUUCCAGGGCAGAUAGAUCGUGACCUGAUCAACAAUUUUACUUCCUGUCAGAUUUACUCUAAAUGCUUUGGUUUUUGAGUUAUAAGCCAAAAACUGCAUUUUACCCCUAUGUUCUUUUUUAGCCAUGGCGCCAUCUUGGUUGGUUGGCCGGGUCACCGGACACAUUUUUUAAACUAAAUACCCUAAUGAUGAUUGUGGCCAAGUUUGGUUAAAUUUGGCCCAGUAGUUUCAGAGGAGAAGAUUUUUGUAAAAGUUAACGCAGGACGACGACGACGACGGACGACGACAGAUGCCGGACGCCAAGUGAUGAGAAAAGCUCACUUGGCCUUUCGGCCAGGUGAGCUAAAAAGGGU
RNAcentral lists this long non-coding RNA (541 nucleotides) under Mytilus galloprovincialis (Mediterranean mussel). Lineage: Eukaryota; Metazoa; Mollusca; Bivalvia; Mytilida; Mytilidae. The record is from RNAcentral.